Molecule: microRNA precursor, 103 nt
Filed under: Marmota monax (woodchuck)
Lineage: Eukaryota; Metazoa; Chordata; Mammalia; Rodentia; Sciuridae
Source: RNAcentral
AGUGGGAUAGCUGGGUCAAAUAGUGGUUCCAUUCCAAGUUUUCCAAGGAAUCUCCAUAUUGCUUUCCAGACUGGCUGCACCAAUUUGCAGUCCCACCAGCAAU